Molecule: RNA transcript, 2452 nt
Organism: Planococcus citri (citrus mealybug)
Lineage: Eukaryota; Metazoa; Arthropoda; Insecta; Hemiptera; Pseudococcidae
Exons: 10
Source: RefSeq, a predicted model, not a curated record
UGGAUUUCCCUGUAUUCUUCAAGACAAGACGAUGUUCAGACUUCAGAAACUUCAGACACAUCCGGGGUCAUGUUUCUUAUCUUCGACAGUGCUUCGUUCAAAUCACCAACUAACUAUAUUCACACUCAAGUAAAUGAUGAACGUGGAUUGAUGAUAAUCCCAGUAAAUUACUCAGUCUGCUGAUCCAUAACCUCAUUCCAAUCUCACACGAGUACCAUACUAUAUCGAACAAAUUGACAUGAAACCCAUGUUUUGUGAAAAUGUGAGUUACCUUCUGGAUGGAAAUCUACCGUACCUCGGCUGUCAUGCAAUUAAUGGACGCGGACGCGAUAUCUUGAUUAAUCAGCUUUCUCAAUGAGUUUCAAGAAGGAAAAAAGCGAAACUCACGUGUUAGUAUAGUACCUACCUACCUAUGUGUGUGGUUUAUGUGUUGCGAGGUGACGUUUACACGUGGCAUGGCAGGAGAAAUUCGAAAGGCGUGUCUAACAGGGGGCGAGACCGAUUUGAAAAUAACACGUGGCGGAAAAUCGGAAAAAAACUAGCUACUUAAAUUAAUUUUAUGAGUAGCGAAUUACUAGGCUUUGAAAUCACAUUUUCAACCUUUCCAGCAAAGAAUGGAGUUGCUGCAAUUUUGAAAACGGAGUUCUUCAAUUUUAUCGGAGAAUGUAAAGAUAUGUUCCAAAAUGAACUACAUAUCUUUCUGGAACGUGAGGUUCUGAUUUAUGGCGAUCCUGGUUCCAAACAACGAAACAGCUGCAAUAUUUUGUUAAUAAAUCCAUCACGUGGCUUUCAAAUAAUCACCAUGAACCUUGGAGUACUCGAGCAAAGGCCUUAUAUACAAACUGUACCAUUGGUUCAUUAUGAUGAUAACGUCUUUUUACAUGGAUUGGGAUUGGGAAUCAGCCUCUUCGACUUGGACGAUGCGACUAGGUAACGAGCAACAACGCAUGGAAGCGAAGACGCGCGGUACGUGAGACGACCGUGAAUAGUAAAUUCAUAACGAUUGCCAUGCUAUAGUGGCUAUGGCGGUCAUUUUCAAGUACAUAUCGAAUCAAGGGUUAAUAUGAUUGUACAAUACACGUCGAGAAUCGAAAUAAUUAUACCGGGGUCGUCGCAGCUUUCAGACACGAUUUUCUCAAAUACCGUAUAGUGGAUAAAAUUGUACGAGUAUCUGUGUUACACACCUGGGCCAAGUGUAAACUCCGGAUACUUCGAAACCGAAAUGCCAAGAGCCGCAGUAAGCUCCUUGACCUUUGGGACCGGUGCAGACUCCGUGCCCGUGUGCUUUACCAUCUUCCCAACCACCGCAGUAUGUGCCACCAUCGUCGAAAUCGAAUCUUCCGCCGUUUAGUUGGGCGCUCUUGUUUGAGGUGACGGCGGUACCUGUAGCGGCAGUGGACGCCGGAGAUGAUGUGGAAUUUGUAUUGUGGUAGCCCCCCGGCGCCGGAUAUCCUUGUUGCAUCACACAAGGCCCCCGUCCCGUAAAGCCAAAGCCGCCGUCGUUGUGGUCGUCACCGCCGCCGCCGCGAGCACUAUAAAAUCACAUUAAUCGUUUCUAUAAAUAGAAUUAACAAACGUGAACAAAUAACAACCGUCCCGCACAUCGUGUAACACCAAUACACACGCUAAUGAAAUUUCAACUCCACCACGCCGGAUCAAAAAAAGAUUUACAUACGCAGAUCGCGGAUAUACCACCGAUAUAGAUGGAAUUACGUGUAGAAGACUUUAUAAAAAACGCGACGGCCGCGGCAGCAGGCACACAAGAUGAGAGAAAAACCAGCACACACCGCACGUUUCCGAUUCCUUUUGCCUAUUAUAACAACUAUGAUGAUUACGCGCGACGACGACCACGUUCACCUUAGUAGAUAUUAUAUGAUUACGGACGUGUAGACGAAGGAAAAAAAUACGAGCUGCGAGUAAGAAAAACGCACCGAGUAGCGGCCAAUGGUCGUCACUACACCAGAAAAACACGAUUGUCGAAGAAAGUCGACGACGAAAACAGCGACCAUUUCGACAGGCCGUCGUCCUAUAUCCAACUGCUCUCACUCUGAACGUUUGAAAAAUUACGAACCGCUGAAUACGCAAAAGCUGUGUUGUACAUAGUUUGACUUGGAAAUGUUUUUUGGUGUUGUACCCAAUAUCUACCUUCUACCUAGAACGUGUCUCCUGCAUGUAUUGAACUUACAAUUCAGAUGCGGUGCCUAUCUAUCACAGAUGUGCCGAACGAAAGAGGGUGUCCUCACUCUCCGCCUCGACAGAAAAAUUUUGGAAAAAGCUGGGAAACUUGGAUAUAGUUGAAAAGAAAUUGUGUAAGCUGAGAAAAUUGAAUAAUUUUACCAAAACCUACAGGUUUUUACUUAUUGAAUUAUAAUUUUUUAAAAGCUUUCGCCCUCGUUGAUCAUUUUUCCUUCUUUCUCUGAUCGAAGUUUGAGAGUAGAAAAAUUGACUUAUU